Molecule: non-coding RNA, 23 nt
Filed under: Cricetulus griseus (Chinese hamster)
Lineage: Eukaryota; Metazoa; Chordata; Mammalia; Rodentia; Cricetidae
Source: RNAcentral
ACAGGAAGGGACUGUGUGUACUG